Molecule: long non-coding RNA, 622 nt
Organism: Mugil cephalus (flathead mullet)
Lineage: Eukaryota; Metazoa; Chordata; Actinopteri; Mugiliformes; Mugilidae
Exons: 3
Source: RefSeq, a predicted model, not a curated record
ACCCGCUUUCACACACACACACACACACACACACACACACACACCUGAUCGAUGUGAACUUCAUUCUGAUCCCGCCUGAAAGAUGGAGGCAGUGACCCCAACAUCUCCCAAGUCGGAUUCAGUCGCGAAGCGGUCAUCGAAAAGAAACUCAGAAGAGGAAGUAUAGUGAGGGUGACUCCUCUGAUGGAGGCAGUGACCCCAACAUCUCCCAAGUCGGAUUCAAUCGCGAAGCGGUCAUCGAAAAGAAACUCAGAAGAGCACUCAGGUGCUGCCCAAAUGGCCCCCACUGCCAAGCUCCAGAAGCAUACACAUGAGCUGGAGCUGCUGAAGAUGAAAAUAGCAUGCCAGGAAGACCUGAUCAAACAGCUAAUCAAGGAGAGAGACUGUUUCAGAACUCCACUCUCCUCUCCAAGCUCCUCAAGCUCGGAGGAUGGUAAGAAGAAGAAGAUGAAGAGGAAGAAGAAGUCAAAGAAGAACAUAAUGUCAUGUCAGUUUCAAUGUUUCUAUAAUUUGCCUCAAUUUUUACAGUAAUUGAAGUGUUUUUUUUUUGUUUUGUUUUUUUUUUUUUUGCAUUUUUAUUCCACAGCAAUAAAUAAAGCAGUUUUGGCAUUCACAGUUGAAA